This 425-nucleotide ribosomal RNA is filed under the name uncultured bacterium. RNAcentral describes it as "partial 16S ribosomal RNA". It matches the Rfam family "Bacterial small subunit ribosomal RNA", at positions 354 to 796 of the family's 1533-position model. The record is from RNAcentral.
GUUAGGAAUAUUGGACAAUGGGCGAAAGCCUGAUCCAGCCAUGCCGCGUGAACGAUGAAGGCCUUCGGGUUGUAAAGUUCUUUAGCCGAUGAUUAUAAUGACUGUAGUCGGAAAAUAAGCCCCGGCUAACUUCGUGCCAGCAGCCGCGGUAAUACGAAGGGGGCGAGCGUUAUUCGGAAUCACUGGGCGUAAAGCGUGCGUAGGCGGGUUUGUAAGUUAGGAGUGAAAGCCCAGGGCGCAACCUUGGAAUUGCUCUUAAAACUGCAAGGCUCGAAUCUCGGAGAGGAUAGCGGAAUUUCCAGUGUAGCAGUGAAAUGCGUAGAUAUUGGAAGGAACACCAGUGGCGUAAGCGGCUAUCUGGACGAGUAUUGACGCUGAGGCACGAAAGCGUGGGGAUCAAACAGGAUUAGAAACCCUAGUAGUCC